UGGGGAAUAUUGCACAAUGGGCGGAAGCCUGAUGCAGCAACGCCGCGUGAGGGAUGACGGCCUUCGGGUUGUAAACCUCUUUCAGCACCGACGAAGCGGGAGUGACGGUAGGUGCAGAAGAAGCGCCGGCCAACUACGUGCCAGCAGCCGCGGUAACACGUAGGGCGCGAGCGUUGUCCGGAAUUAUUGGGCGUAAAGGGCUCGUAGGCGGUUUGUUGCGUCGAGAGUGAAAUCCCAAGGCUUAACUUUGGGACUGCUUUCGAUACGGGCAGGCUAGAGGUAGGCAGGGGAGAGUGGAAUCUCAGGUGUAGCGGUGGAAUGCGCAGAUAUCUGAGGGAACACCGGUGGCGAAGGCGGCUCUCUGGGCCUUACCUGACGCUGAGGAGCGAAAGCGUGGGGAGCGAACAGG
This 409-nucleotide ribosomal RNA is filed under the name uncultured bacterium. Its description in RNAcentral is "bacterial SSU rRNA". It matches the Rfam family "Bacterial small subunit ribosomal RNA", at positions 355 to 776 of the family's 1533-position model. The record is from RNAcentral.